RNAcentral lists this ribosomal RNA (695 nucleotides) under Staphylococcus aureus. RNAcentral describes it as "partial 23S ribosomal RNA". It matches the Rfam family "Bacterial large subunit ribosomal RNA", at positions 1286 to 1977 of the family's 2925-position model. Lineage: Bacteria; Bacillati; Bacillota; Bacilli; Caryophanales; Staphylococcaceae. The record is from RNAcentral.
AAGUGAGAAUGCCGGUGUGAGUAGCGAAAGACGGGUGAGAAUCCCGUCCACCGAUUGACUAAGGUUUCCAGAGGAAGGCUCGUCCGCUCUGGGUUAGUCGGGUCCUAAGCUGAGGCCGACAGGCGUAGGCGAUGGAUAACAGGUUGAUAUUCCUGUACCACCUAUAAUCGUUUUAAUCGAUGGGGGGACGCAGUAGGAUAGGCGAAGCGUGCGAUUGGAUUGCACGUCUAAGCAGUAAGGCUGAGUAUUAGGCAAAUCCGGUACUCGUUAAGGCUGAGCUGUGAUGGGGAGAAGACAUUGUGUCUUCGAGUCGUUGAUUUCACACUGCCGAGAAAAGCCUCUAGAUAGAAAAUAGGUGCCCGUACCGCAAACCGACACAGGUAGUCAAGAUGAGAAUUCUAAGGUGAGCGAGCGAACUCUCGUUAAGGAACUCGGCAAAAUGACCCCGUAACUUCGGGAGAAGGGGUGCUCUUUAGGGUUAACGCCCAGAAGAGCCGCAGUGAAUAGGCCCAAGCGACUGUUUAUCAAAAACACAGGUCUCUGCUAAACCGUAAGGUGAUGUAUAGGGGCUGACGCCUGCCCGGUGCUGGAAGGUUAAGAGGAGUGGUUAGCUUCUGCGAAGCUACGAAUCGAAGCCCCAGUAAACGGCGGCCGUAACUAUAACGGUCCUAAGGUAGCGAAAUUCCUUGUCGGGU